RNA transcript from Haplochromis burtoni (Burton's mouthbrooder), 616 nucleotides. RefSeq lists it as uncharacterized. The transcript has 5 exons. The record is from RefSeq and is a predicted model, not a curated record. NCBI's taxonomy places the organism in Eukaryota, Metazoa, Chordata, Actinopteri, Cichliformes, Cichlidae.
CACUACGACUCUGGCUCUAUGCACUACGACUCUGGAAUUUGCUCGAACCAGCACAGCAACGGGAAUCUUCCCCGAGCUUCUGAUUGGAUGACACAGUUGUUUGUUUGAUCAGCGAUUGGUUGCUGUGUUACAGAUGACUGGAACAUUUGAUUGGGAGCUCCACGUCAGCAAGUUUCACAACUAACAUGUGACACCCUUUCAACCGGAACUUUACCAUGGACCUGGUGAAACAUACAGGUGGCUGCCACUGUGGGGCUGUGCGAUUUGAAGUCUGGAAUUCCCCAGACCUCCAUGUUUUUCAUUGCAAUUGCAGCAUUUGCACAAAGAAGCAAAAUCAUCAUUUCAUUGUGCCAAAAAAUCGCUUCACGCUCUUACAGGGUUUGGAAAAUCUGACCACGUACACAUUUAACACUCAUGUUGCAAAACACACCUUCUGUAAAACCUGUGGAGUUCAAAGUUUCUACACACCACGCUCCAACCCAGACGGAUAUGGUAUGACCCUGACAACUCACCGACACACUUGGUCUCAUGUGUUGUAAACAGAAUUCAACACCCCGCUAAUGUUUACUCCACACCAACCAACCCAGUUGUCUCUUUAAUGUCAUGUUUUUAUGCU